This 609-nucleotide ribosomal RNA is filed under the name uncultured archaeon. RNAcentral describes it as "bacterial SSU rRNA". It matches the Rfam family "Archaeal small subunit ribosomal RNA", at positions 1 to 621 of the family's 1478-position model. The record is from RNAcentral.
UUCAGGUUGAUCCUGCCGGACCUGACUGCUAUCGGAUUGGUACUAAGCCAUGCGAGUCAUUGUAGCAAUACAAGGCGGACGGCUCAGUAACACGUAGUCAACCUAACUCGUGGACGUGGAUAACCUCGGGAAACUGAGAAUAAACCACGAUAGAUCAUAGUGCCUGGAAUGGCUUAUGGUCCAAACAGUUUACUGCCAUGGGAUGGGACUGCGGCCUAUCAGCUUGCUGGUGAGGUAAUGGCCCACCAAGGCGAUUACAGGUAUGGGCUCUGAGAGGAGAAGCCCGGAGAUGGGUACUGAGACACGGACCCAGGCCCUAUGGGGCGCAGCAGGCGAGAAACCUUAGCAAUGUGCGAAAGCACGACUGGGUCAGUCCGAGUGAUUCCUGAUAAAGGAGUCUUUUGCUUGUCCUAAAAGCACAGGUGAAUAAGGGGUGGGCAAGUCUGGUGUCAGCCGCCGCGGUAAUACCAGCACCUCGAGUGGUCAGGACGUUUAUUGGGCCUAAAGCAUCCGUAGCCGGCUCUGCAAGUCUUCGGUUAAAUCCACCUGCUCACAGAUGGGCGCUGGAGAUACUACAGAGCUAGGGGUGGGAGAGGCGACGGAUUCAGU